CGAACGCGUCGGACGUACCUCGCGAGAUCUCCGCAGGUUCCGCGGAGAUGCGCGUUACAGUUUUCGCCUUUCCCCUGCAGCUGGGGCGCCGUCGCGAGUCGUGCGUGUACGGAGACGAUACCCCACCAGGCGGCAUAGUCAGUUUGUCGCAUUCAGACCCGGCGAGCUAUAUAGGUCCCUAACUGUCUAGAAAAUUCUGUACCAUAUUGGCACCUGAAAAGUCAGGAGGAGGAGUCGUGAGGAACACUCCACGUAGCUCCUACCAAAACGCAUCGAUGCUGCCUCCUCUAUGAGGCUGCCUUCUCGAGGAUAACCAAACGGAUUUACUUGGAUUGCAACCGCAUCACCGGCGACAAUCUGGAUAAUUACCACAAAGCUGCCGGCUCAACGUCCGACGACAGAGUGUAUACCUGGCGCAGCGGCGGCCAAUGGGCUGCUCCAUUCACCGAGAACAGACUUACAAACAAUGCGGCAUCCUUACCGGUUAUGGACAUCCAGGGGUAUCGAGGGAUGUCAGGCAGGGGCUGGGUGGCAGCCGCCCCCGGUUGGGAGCAGCUGUUGAGCGGGUCUGCCGCUGCCGACGCCGCAGCCG
This is a long non-coding RNA of Frankliniella occidentalis (western flower thrips), 592 nucleotides long. RefSeq lists it as uncharacterized. The transcript has 4 exons. Lineage: Eukaryota; Metazoa; Arthropoda; Insecta; Thysanoptera; Thripidae. The record is from RefSeq and is a predicted model, not a curated record.